CCUCCCUUUCUUGGCACACACGCCGUUGGUCAGUACACGUGUGUGUAAUGUCCGGAGGAACAGUAUGUGCUGCCAGUGCUAUGUCUUCGGUGCCAGCGUGUGAUUUGUCUGCUGGUCCUAUCCUCAAUCACUGGCACACCU
Small nucleolar RNA from Conger conger (European conger), 141 nucleotides. RefSeq annotates it as small nucleolar RNA SNORA57. The record is from RefSeq and is a predicted model, not a curated record. Lineage: Eukaryota; Metazoa; Chordata; Actinopteri; Anguilliformes; Congridae. The transcript has a single exon.